UUAACAAACUCUUUUCAUACAAUUACAUGGAUGACUUGUGAGAUCUAUACUGGAAUACGUGUUAUCUCUCUUAUAGCACUUAAGAUGCUGUAUUGCAGUUUUGGUGGGGUUUUUUUCCUCCUUGAAUCUGUUGAGCCCAAGAAACUUUUCUUUUUUAGAUCUAUUUCUCUAGUACAUAGCAUAAUGCCUGAAGUAAAGUGGGUGCUUAUAAAAUUAAUUAAUAGGAGUUCCUGUCGUGGCGCAGCAGAAACGAAUCUGACUAGGAACCAUGAGGUUGAGGGUUUGAUUCCCUGGCCUCGCUUACUGAGUUAAGGAUCUGGCGUUGCUGUGGUUAUGGCAUAGGCUGGCAGCUGUAGCUUCGAUUAGACCCCUAGCCUGGGAACCUCCAUAUGCUGUGGUUAAUAAAUAAAUAAAAUUAAUAAAUCAGAGUAGAGAAGUAACUGGUAAAGGUGGACAGAACUGGCCACUGUGAAGCCAGAAAUUUGGGAUAAGUCUUUUGAGCCCUCUAGGUGUCAACAUUUUUUGUUAGAUUCUACAUGACUAGCUGAUUCUAAGAACAAACCAAGACUAGACUAGAUGGUAUCAAAAAAUGAUAAUAAAAAUCAAUUCUGUGUCUACCCUUCUCAUCCAUUCACCCAAGGAGUAUAAAUACAUUCACUCAUUAAUAGAUCCAUUUAUCAAAAACAUGCAUUGAAUACAGGGACCAUCAAAAUGGUUUCUGCUUUUAUUUUGGCAGUGUUUCUAAAAGUGUGGCCCCUGGGUUCUUGUGUCAAAAAGAGGUGUUGAGCUUAAUUAAUACAUAGAUUCCCAGAAUAUUGAGGAAGCAGGGCUUGGGAAUUUCACUUUUAAGCAGGCAGCCUCCAGAUGAUUUUUUUCCCAUUCCCAAAUAUUUUUUGAGCAUCUUUGAUGGGCCAGGCCUUUACUUGGACCAAAGGAAUAAUGAAAGUUGGUUAUAUUUCGUUUUGGGCUGCUAUAACAAAAUACCAUAGAUUAGAUGGUUUACAAACAACAUAAAUUUAUUUCUCAUAGUUGUAGAGGCUGGGAAGUCUCAGAUCCAGGUGCCUACAGAUGUAGAGUCUGCUUCCUCACAGAGAGCCAUCUUCUCAUUUGUAUCCUCCAAUGGCAGAAAGGACAAGCUAGCUCUUUGGGGUCUUUUCUAUAACAGGUCAUAAUCUCAAUCAUGAAAGCUUCACCCUUAUGACCUAGUCACCUCUAAAAGACUUCAUCGCCUUGGAGAUUAGAAUUUCAACAUAGGAAUUUGAGGGACAGAGGGCACAAACAUUCAGUUCAUAUCAACAUGAGACAAAUCCACUCUCAUAAAUGAACAUAAAGUAAUUUAGGUUAAAUGUAAGAUGUCAGAAAAGCUGAGGGGGUGGAAGGAAUUAAGGACAGAGCCCAGUUUAUGAAGAAAAAGAAAUAGUAUCCAAUAGCUGGUUAGACAGAGGUUCUAGACAUUUACAGAUGUUGUUAGUGAUCUCUCAAUGAAAAAGGCCAAGAGGUGUUCCUGUUGCGGCUCAGUGGUCAUGUACCUGACUAGUAUCCAUGAGGAUGUGGGUUCAAUCCCUGGCCUUGUUCAGUGGGUUAAGGUAUCCAGCAUUGCCAUGAGCUGUGGUGUAAGUCACGGAUGUGGCUUGGAUCCUAUGUUGUGGCUGUGGUGUAGGCUGGGGGCUACAGCUCUGAUUUGACCCCUAGCCUGGGAAUUUCCAUAUGUUGAGGGUAUGGCUAAGAAAGAAAGAAAGAAAGAAAGAAAGAAAGAAAGAAAGAAAGAAAGAAAGAAAGAAAGAAAGAAAGAAAGAAAGAAAGAAAGGAAGGAAGGAAGGAAGGAAGGAAGGAAGGAAGGAAGGAAGGAAGGAAGGAAGAAAGAAAGAAAGAAAGAAAGAAAAGGAAGAAAAGAAAGAAAGAAAGAAAGAAAAAGUCCCAGAAAAGUUGUUUAGAAUACUUAGUCUUCUAGUAUGCACAUCACUGGCUUCUACAGUCAACAGCAUAUCAGCAGAGUUAUUAUUUAUCUCUCUCCCCUCCCCAAGCUUUUUUUUUUCUUUGCUAAAAUAUUUUAAAACAAAUCUUUGACAUCAUGUCAUUUCACCUCUAAAUAUUCCAACAUGUAUCUCAAAGAAAGAUGGAUUUGGGUGUGGGCUGGGCAUAGUGAUGUGUUCCAAAGCAUAAAGCAUGAAAGGGAGACAAAGUGACUUUACAGUAGAGGAAUGUAGCAGACUAGCUUGGCCAAGUCAUCAAGCUUAACAUGAUCAGUGAUAAGUCAUUGAUAGAAUGUACUUCUGACAAGAUAUAAGGAGAAAGGUACUAGUAAAAUUUUAGUAAAGUAUGUUGUUUAGUUAAUAGUAAUGUGCUAAUAUUCAUUCUUUAGUUGUGAUAAAUAUACUAGAGUAACACAAGAUGUUCAUAGUUGGGGAACCUUAGUAUGGGGUAUAUAGGAAUUAUAUACUAUCUUUACAACUUUUUGGUAGACCUAAAACAAUUCUAAAUUUGUAAGUUUAUUAUAAAAAUGGAGGAGUGUAAUAAAUUGAAUAAGCUAGAAGAAAUGUAUAUGCCAAAGUUCGAUUUGCUGGUAUUCUCAUAAUACUAGCAAACCAAAUUCAAAAGCUUGUUAAAAAAAUCAUACACUAUGGGAGUAACCUGUGGUCUAGUGGUAAUGAUCUGGGCACUGCUGUAGCCCAGGUUCAAUCUCUGGUCUGUGAACUGAGAGCCCACAUCAAUCUGCUGCAUAUCGCAGCCAAAAAAAAAAAUCAUACACCAUAGUCAACUGGGAUUUGGGAUUUAUCCCUAGAAUGCAGGAAUAGUUCAAUAGAUCCAGAUAAAUAAAUGUGAUAUACAACAUUAACAAAAUGAGAGAUAAAAACCAUUUGAUUAUCUCAGUAGAUGAAAAGCAUUUAGCAAAAUAAAAUAUCCUAUGAUAAAGAAAAAUCUCAAAAACUUAGGUAUAGAAGGAAAAUACCCCAACAUAAUAAAGGUCACAUGUGACAAGCCCACAGUUAACAUCACACUUAACAGUGAAUAUUUAAGACAAGCGGGUGAUAUCUACAACAACAAAAUAUCUAAAAAUGAAAUUAAACUGUCCCAUUUACAAUAGCAUCAAAAACAAUAAAACACUUAGGAAUAAAUUUAACCAAGCAUGUGAAAGAUCUAAACACUGAACACUACUAAGAUUUUAAUGAAACAAAUAUAAAAAGGUACAACAAAAUGGCAAGCUAUCCUGUGUUCAUGGAUCAGAAGAAUUUAAUAUUGGUGAAGUGUCCAUGCUACUCAAAAUCAUCUAUAGGUUCAGUGCAAAUUCUAUCAAAAUUCUAAUGACAUUUUUUACAGAAAUUGAAAAUAAAAUUCUAAAAUUUACGUGGAGCAACAGAAGACCCUGAAUAGCCAAAGCAAUCCUGAGAAAGAAGAGCAAAGCUGGAGAUACCAUGCUUCCUGAUUUCAAACUAUAUUACAAAGCUUUAUUAAUCAAAAAAGUAUGAUACUGUUUUAAAAUCAGGCCCACCAGACCUGUGUUUAGGGAGACAAAGAUAGGUCAAGUUUGAACUUAGGAACAUAUAGUGCAAGGAACUUUGCAAUAUUACAAUUUCCAUUUUACAAAUAGGAAACUGAGAAUUAGGUAAAUAAUGCCUCCAGAGUAAUAUUCAGCUUGUAUCUAUUCAGUCAGGUUUCCACACAAGGCUUGCCUGAAUUUAAAACUCACAGUUUUUUUUUUUUUUCUUCAAAUUACACUGCUGGUCUUUACACUGUGCAUAAGGGAACCACCUAGGCAUGGUUGGCUCUAGCAGUGUGGGGGUAAGUAGUACCUUCAGCCCAUUAGUUGUAUAUAUUUAUAUGAUUUCUUCUUUAGAAUUUUGCAGUUACUCUGUGGCAAUGAAAUAGAGGGUUUUUCUCCUUAAACGUCUUUACUAUGAUCGACCCACAACCUUGGUGGCAUUCUUCCUGCACCUGAGAAAGCAUGAUGGCUUUCAAAAGGUUUGGGGACACUAGUUUAGAUCUGAAACCUCUAUGUAUAGGGUGGUAUCUGUAUACAUUUUUGAAUGUCUAAUUAUUAAUACACUAUUAAUGCAUAAUUACACUUUAAACUACCAUGAAUACAUCUUCUCAAAUGGCUUUGAACUGACCUUCCAUUUAAAAUAUUUUUUAAAGAAAGCUUAUUUGGUUGGUAGAUACAAACUAUUGCAGUUGGAAUGGGUAAGAGUGAGAUCCUGUUGUAUAGCACAGGGAACUGUAUCUAAUCACUUGUGAUGGAACAUGAUAGAGGAUAAUGUGAGAAAAAGAAUGUACGUAUAUGUAUAACAGGGUCACUUGGCUGUAUAGCAGAAAUUGACAGAACAUUGUAAAUCAACUAUAACAAAAAAAAUUUUUUUAACCUAAGAGCUGAUUUAAAAUUUCUGAAUGUUUUCAGAUAUGAUUUUGAGUUUAUCAUAAUGUAAAAAUAUUAUAAUUUUAAUUAAGGAUUGAACUUUAAUAUCUUGGAUUUCGAGAUUGGCCCUAUCUUCUAGUCAUUCACUUGGUGACUUGGUGAAACCAUGUCAGACUGCACUCUGAUGGCUGCAACAGGAGACUGUUGGAACAUUUAAAACCUGGGCAUCCAAAAUCAAACGAGAAAUCUACUGUAUUAUUGCUGAGCUAACUUGGGGGUAGAAAUCACGUCUUCCAUAGCUGAGACAUAUCUUACACAUGUGGAAAAAUAUUCCCAUCUCCAGUUUGUUUGUUUUUUUUGAAAAAUCAAAUGGUGAAAAAAGUGAUUACAAAAAAACAAUUCCCCCUGUACGCUUUACACUUCAAAAACGAUAUCACUUUCAUUACUGAGUCAUUCAAACUUCCUAAGUCUUGCUUUUUAAGUGAAAUGACCAAUCACUAACCUAUUUUCUUUUCCAUCCCACCAUCGACAGCAAGAUCAACAACUCAGAAAUAGUCUUUGGUGAAACUGCAAAGUAGGCGAGGUUCUUCUGUGGCUUUCUUCUCCCUUCCUCUCGUUGUCUCCCGGUUCCUCUGAGCCCAUGGACUAUGUGGGAUAUUUUGAUCCCCAAGGCUAUUCUUCCUUAAAGAAUCCAGAACCAAAAUUACUCUUUCCUUCCCUUUCUGACAAACCCCCAUCUUUUCCUGCUUCUGACCUCAACUGGGUGCUGCAGUCUGUCCUUUCAUUUAUUUCUAGUUCACGCCUUAUCACAUUCCCCAGCUUCUGGUCCCAGUGUUUUCCUGCCUUCCAGCUUCCAUCACACACACCCAACCUGGCAAUCUAUGGAGGCAGGCAGCUGGUUUGCUGCCACUCACAACGUGUUCUAUGUAAAUGGAGUCCCCAGAGUUGUGCCCAGUGAACAGAGUGGGAAUGAAGCGCCAAGGUGUGGAAAGUCACUGAGGCCACCCAAAAGGAAAGCCCACAGCUGAACUCCAGUCCUCAUCAAGACUUCAUUUCUGCCUCCACCUUAGCAUCUUCAUUCACUGUAAAGUGCACCAUGUGGAUUUAGAUAGACCUGGGUUUGGAUGGUGACAUUGCCACUUCCUAGCCACACAACCUUUGGAAAGUUACUUAAGUUUUCUUAGAAGAAUGGAAUAGGGAGUUCCCAUCGUGGCACAGUGGAAACAAAUCUGACUAGGAACCAUGAGGUUGUGGGUUUGAUCCCUGGCCUCGCUAAGUGGGUUAAGGAUCUGGCAUUGCAGUGAGU
This 5657-nucleotide long non-coding RNA is filed under the name Sus scrofa (pig). RNAcentral describes it as "lncRNA (ENSSSCG00050030066.1)". The record is from RNAcentral. Lineage: Eukaryota; Metazoa; Chordata; Mammalia; Artiodactyla; Suidae.